UGUCACACCUCGGGGUGCCCUGGGCGUGCGGACGCGCGCCGGGCUGAGAUGCGGGAGAGCCCGCGAACCCGUUGAACCUGAACCGGUUAAGACCGGCGGAGGGAAGGUCGCGCGGGCGAGC
Regulatory RNA element from Roseivivax jejudonensis, 121 nucleotides. It matches the Rfam family "TPP riboswitch aptamer (THI element)". Rfam says of the family: Vitamin B(1) in its active form thiamin pyrophosphate (TPP) is an essential coenzyme that is synthesised by coupling of pyrimidine and thiazole moieties in bacteria. The previously detected thiamin-regulatory element, thi box was extended, resulting in a new, highly conserved RNA secondary structure, the THI element, which is widely distributed in eubacteria and also occurs in some archaea. Analysis of operon structures identified a large number of new candidate thiamin-regulated genes, mostly transporters, in various prokaryotic organisms. The record is from Rfam. Lineage: Bacteria; Pseudomonadati; Pseudomonadota; Alphaproteobacteria; Rhodobacterales; Roseobacteraceae.